UACGAGUUUGAUCCUGGCUCAGAUUGAACGCUGGCGGCAUGCUUUACACAUGCAAGUCGAACGCGAAAGGGGGCAACCCUGAGUAGAGUGGCGCACGGGUGAGUAAUACAUCGGAACGUGUCCUGUAAUGGGGGAUAACGCAGCGAAAGCUGUGCUAAUACCGCAUACGUCCUACGGGAGAAAGCGGGGGAUCGCAAGACCUCGCGUUAUAGGAGCGGCCGAUGCCGGAUUAGCUAGUUGGUGGGGUAAAGGCCUACCAAGGCAACGAUCCGUAGCUGGUCUGAGAGGAUGAUCAGCCACACUGGGACUGAGACACGGCCCAGACUCCUACGGGAGGCAGCAGUGGGGAAUUUUGGACAAUGGGCGCAAGCCUGAUCCAGCCAUGCCGCGUGAGUGAAGAAGGCCUUCGGGUUGUAAAGCUCUUUCGGCCGGGACGAAAUCGCACGGGUUAAUACCGCGUGUGGAUGACGGUACCGGAAUAAGAAGCACCGGCUAACUACGUG
RNAcentral lists this ribosomal RNA (503 nucleotides) under uncultured bacterium. RNAcentral's name for it is "bacterial SSU rRNA". It matches the Rfam family "Bacterial small subunit ribosomal RNA", at positions 1 to 507 of the family's 1533-position model. The record is from RNAcentral.